UACACCCGUAGUAACAUGUUUACUUGAUAUUGCGGCUGUAAUUCGAUACAGGGGGGAAUAUCAGUCCACAGUGUAGCCGUUUCCUACAAUAUCAUUAUAGUUGUUUUUGAAAUUGCUUUUUGGUAUAUUUAGAUGUUUUUGGUGUCAAACAUGGCUUCAUCAGAGGGACUUGGAUGCUGCCUUAAAGUUGUCUUCUUGUAUAUAGUGCAAACUAAAUUGAAUCAAAACAUAAAAAAAAAUGGAUUUUGUUAAUUAUUAAAUAAAAUAUAAGAAAAAAGACUACAAACUCUCUUCACCAGUCUUCCUUUAUUAUUUUAAACAGAAAACGUUUCAAAUAAAAUCGUUUUAAUUAGA
Molecule: long non-coding RNA, 354 nt
Organism: Anoplophora glabripennis (Asian longhorned beetle)
Lineage: Eukaryota; Metazoa; Arthropoda; Insecta; Coleoptera; Cerambycidae
Exons: 2
Source: RefSeq, a predicted model, not a curated record